Passer domesticus (house sparrow) is the source of this 3870-nucleotide long non-coding RNA. RefSeq lists it as uncharacterized. Lineage: Eukaryota; Metazoa; Chordata; Aves; Passeriformes; Passeridae. The record is from RefSeq and is a predicted model, not a curated record. The transcript is spliced from 4 exons.
UUAAACUGUUGUGAUUUUCAUUGUAUAGUUUAUUAAUCGUACUGUAGUUUUCUUAACGUGUUUUUGAAUUAUUCAGCAGUAAUUUAUAAUGAAAGAAGCAGAAAUGGUGGGGUGGUUUUAAAUUCAUUUAUAAUCUUCUCACAGAUCUAAAUGUACAGGUUCUACCAGCCGAUGAGCUCUAUAAUUAUGAAAGAAUGUUAAAAUUUUCAGAUAAAUGGGGCACUGAGUUUACAAUGGGCACAAUAUUGUAUAAUCAGUAAAAAGAGGAUUGUUAUGUUUUGACUCUGUGGAGAAUGGUCUUGGUUAGUUAACUCCUUCUAUGCUGAUAAUGGUAAGCAAAUAUACUUUAUGUAAGAAAAUAGGGGGAGAAUGCAAUGCAAUGGUUUGAUGUUUUGUUAGUCUGAAACCUUAGCAUAUUUUUUUUCCAUUUAUUUCCAUUUCUGUUACUUUUCUUUUCCCUAUUUGCUUCUCUGGGUUUUGUCGAGGUUUUUUUUUCCUCCUGUCUUGCAAUCUACAUUCCCUGAGCAACCACAGGAACCAAGUUACAUUAAGCUUCAACACAAAGACGAUGUAAGAAUAAUGAAUCCUCAUUUGCAUCGACAUUUGUAUUCAGAUUUGCCAGGCUAUAAACUUGGCAGAUCAAGCGGAAUAUUAAGUAGAAGCUUCCAUGGGGUUAUUUUUUUCAGUUGCUACCGGAUGUUGACCAGAAAGUUGGAAGGGCUGGCAUCCUCCCACGGUGAUGAGGAAUCCCAGCCCCUCCACUCUGAAGAGUGCAAGAUGCCCAUGAGGUUGACUCUUCUCUCCAACAUUCACACAAGAGCUGGAAAUAAAGUGGUUGAAGUCACCCUGUAGCUGGAGUUGCCAAGGCUUUGUCUACCCUGUUUCUGAACAAAAGCCAAAACGGAGGCUGGUAUUUUUCAGCUUUUUAGUGACCACUUGAUGUGCAGUUCCUGACUUCAGAGGGCCACCUGGAGCUGGUUUUCAAGAACCACAUCCAUACCACUUUUCAAUAUCUCCAAGGAUGACGAUUCCACAACCUCCUUGAAAAGCUGUGCCAGUGCUCAGUAACUCUCACCAUGAAAAAGUGUUUCCUGAUGUCCAUAGGAAACCUCCUGUCUAUUCCCAUUACCUCUGGUCCUGUCACUGGGCACCACUGAGAAGAGGACCCUACCUGUUCUCUUUGACAUUCCAUUCAAGUAUUUAUAUGCAUUAAUGGGAUCCUCCUGAGCGUUCUUUUCUCCAGACUGAACAUUCACAGCUCUCUCAGCCUUUUCUCCUCAGAGACAUGCGUCAGUCCCUUCACCAUCUUUGUGGCCCUUUGCAGGACCCUUGGGUAGCAGAAUGACUUCUUUGUGAGGCCCCUCAAUAAUCUUUGAAUAAUCAUGACAAUCAGAAGUGUCCAAGGACUGGAGGAAAGGAGGUGUCACUUCUGAAUAAAAAGAAGGACCUCACCUCAGUCUCUGGAAAGAUGAUGGAGUAGCCAGUUCUGGAUACCAUUUCCAGACACAUGAAAAACAAGAUAAAGCCUUGAUCACUAGACUGAGGAUCAUUUUCACUUUGACAGGGUUUAAUGUAGUUUUCUACUUGCAAGGGAAAGCCUGAUUUUAAUAAGAGAAGGAAGAUUAGAAAUAUGGUGUGAAACAGGAUCCAAGGUUUGGAGGCCUAUAACAACAUCUAGGCAACUACAGAGAGGCACUGCUUCCCUACAAGGUAUACUUCCUUGAGACCAUUUUCCUUGGGUUCUCCAAGCAGUAUCUAGCAAAGGGGAGCAUGAAAGACUUCUGCUUUGUUCCUGGAUCAUGAAACUCUUCAUGUGGCAGUCUUGGGAGCUGAUCAUGUGAAUUCAGCUCCUGCUCUUCAGUGCCCAGUUCAAAGGAAGAUUUUUAGCACUUAUCCUAAUAAUAAUAAUGACAACUGUACUAGUCCAUAAGUGACCAAAGAAUCUGCUUCAUACAGCACCUGAGUUGAAGGGAUUAGUGCUAUCUCGGAUGACUUAUGAUUUCAAAAGAUAGGGCCAAGAGUCCCUAAAAGGUAAAUUCUCCUCAACAACAUCUGGGUAUAGAGAUUUGAAUGAAACACAUACUUGUGAAGCUGAGUUACAGACCAGACUAAUGCUCUGGAUAAUGAAGGGAAGCACUGGCUGUGAAGAAUUUUGUGACAAGGUUUUAUACUAGAAAUAUACAGGCAAUUGGUGUGUGCCAGAUGCUCAGAUAAAGUGGCUUAUGGCCCUUAAUUACAGCAUGAGAAUUUAGGCUUCAAAAAGACUAAGCUACUUAGUACUUGGAAAACACUUAAAUGAUGUGGCUAUUAGCCUCUUCUAGGGAUUGAACCUACUACAAUGAGUUUCAGUGUUAGAGAAAUCAAAAUUACCAUGACUUUGGAUUCUUGUACACAUUCCUGUAGGCAGCAUCAUAAGGCAUACAAUUAAAUUUAAUUACUAUAUGAAAUUUUAAACAAGAAAAUAGGCAUUUCUGGUUCUUCUAUCCAAAAAGCAUGCUAUGUAACCGCAAAAAAAAAAGGACAGAGAUGAACAAUACAAGUGAUCAGAGGUAUGGAAAUGCUUCCAUACAUUGAAAAUUAUUCAAUAGGUCAGGGCACUGCAUUUUGGGAAAGAUAAUAAGAAAAGAAAAAGAAAAAGAAAAAGAAAAGAAAAGAAAAGAAAAGAAAAGAAAAGAAAAGAAAAGAAAAGAAAAGAAAAGAAAAGAAAAGAAAAGAAAAGAAAAGAAAAGAAAAGAAAAGAAAAGAAAAGAAAAGAAAAGAAAAGAAAAGAAAAGGAUUAAAUAAUUAAAUAAUGAAAAAUCGUUAAGGGAGCAACUGAUGAGUGUCCACAAAAUCUCUAACCAUCCUGGAGAAUGCACAUAGGGAAGUAUUGAUCCCCUGUAUUUUCCUGUACAAGCAUGUGGGCUACCAGAUGAAAAAAGCAGCUGGAUGUUUAAAAACAAGCAAGAGGUUUGUACAAGAUAUAGCUAAGCUGUGGAACUCAUUGCUGUAUGCUGUGGAUGUUUAAAAAUGUCAUGUGUUCCAGUUUAUUGAGAAAAAACAUAAAUACAAAAGAAUCUCAUUCAAGAAGUCUGAAUUACAGCUAAAGGCCAGAUGAAUAUGGGAAACAGUAUUACACGCUUGCCUGGUUCUUAUCCUCUCCCCCUGACAUCUGGUAUAGGACGUUGUCAGAGACACAAUAUGAGACUAGCUAGACCUUUGGUUUGAACCAUUAUGGCUGUUCUUAUUUUCCUAUGAUUUUAAACUACAUGUUAUUCCAGAAAUUCCCAGGCUGCAAUAGUAACUCCAGCUCUAGUCUAAGUGAUUACACAGGUGGUACUUCAGUAGACAGUAGUAUGGGAACAAUGGUAUAGCAGUGUCAAAUUUGGGCUGGGAACAACUGCACUGGGAUCAUCAAGCCCAGAAGUUUGUAAUAUACCACUAGGAUUCAGUUGCCUGCUAUGCAUUUAAUCUCUGCUUUGGAUUAUAAAUUAAACUGGAAUUUAAAUAAAAGUCGUGGCCAGAGGUCUUAAACCAUGCUGAUAGAUGUCACAAAGCUUUUUUUUUUUUUUUUCAAGCUAUAAGGCACAGAGUAGAAUGGUUGUGUUAUUUCUGAUUGAACACAGAAUUAUUUUCAAACUCCCUUUCUAAAACUAUUCAAAUUUCAUUUGUGGCUUGGCUACUCCAUAAACUCUUUGUUCAUUACAUUUCUACUUGCUUCUGUUGAAAACAGAGAUGCUUUCAAGUGAAAUGUUUUAAGGAGGGUUAGAAAAUGUUCUGGAAAUAAUUUUAAAACUGAUUCAUAUUCCCUUGGUUUAUAUCCUGUGUCUCAUGUGUCUUACAUGUAAAAGUGAAAAAAUAAUACUUUUAAUUGUAGAAUUUAAAAAACAA